GUAGUUCUUUCUCUCUCUUUCUUGGUGUUCUAAUUUAUCGUUUUGUUGAAGAAGAUGGUUGUGCAUGGGAGGUUAAUUAGGUUAGGGUCAUAUAACAAUUGGUUGAGGUAAAAAUAUAUGAUUUGUGGUUUUGAGAUUGUCAAUUACCUACGUAUCUUGCACAUUGCCAUCUUACUUUCACAUUUGUUCAUCUUAUCAAACACAUACUAUACACAUAAGAAGUGCAUGGAUGUUUCCUCAUUUUCU
RNAcentral lists this unclassified non-coding RNA (246 nucleotides) under Hevea brasiliensis (rubber tree). Lineage: Eukaryota; Viridiplantae; Streptophyta; Magnoliopsida; Malpighiales; Euphorbiaceae. The record is from RNAcentral.